GCUGGCGGCAUGCCUAACACAUGCAAGUCGACCGAGACCUUCGGGUCUAGUGGCGCACGGGUGCGUAACGCGUGGGAAUCUGCCCUUGGGUGCGGAAUAACUUCCCGAAAGGGAUGCUAAUACCGCAUAAUGUCGCAAGACCAAAGAUUUAUCGCCCAAGGAUGAGCCCGCGUAGGAUUAGCUAGUUGGUGGGGUAAAAGCCUACCAAGGCGACGAUCCUUAGCUGGUCUGAGAGGAUGAUCAGCCACACUGGGACUGACACACGGCCCACACUCCUACGGGAGGCAGCAGUGGGGAAUAUUGGACAAUGGGCGAAAGCCUGAUCCAGCAAUGCCGCGUGAGUGAUGAAGGCCUUAGGGUUGUAAAGCUCUUUUACCCGGGAUGAUAAUGACUGUACCGGGAGAAUAAGCUCCGGCUAACUCCGUGCCAGCAGCCGCGGUAAUACGGAGGGAGCUAGCGUUGUUCGGAAUUACUGGGCGUAAAGCGCGCGUAGGCGGUUUUUUAAGUCAUAGGUGAAAGCCCGGGGCUCAACCCCGGAAUUGCCUUUGAAACUGGAAAACUUGAAUCUUGGAGAGGUCAGUGGAAUUCCGAGUGUAGAGGUGAAAUUCGUAG
Molecule: ribosomal RNA, 612 nt
Filed under: uncultured organism
Description: SSU rRNA
Rfam family: Bacterial small subunit ribosomal RNA
Source: RNAcentral